RNAcentral lists this ribosomal RNA (513 nucleotides) under uncultured bacterium. RNAcentral describes it as "partial 16S ribosomal RNA". It matches the Rfam family "Bacterial small subunit ribosomal RNA", at positions 28 to 507 of the family's 1533-position model. The record is from RNAcentral.
GACGAACGCUGGCGGCGUGCUUAACACAUGCAAGUCGAACGAAAAGAGGGAAAGAGCUUGCUCUUUCCGGAAUUGAGUGGCAAACGGGUGAGUAACACGUAAACAACCUGCCUUCAGGAUGGGGACAACAGACGGAAACGACUGCUAAUACCGAAUAAGUUCCAAGAGCCGCAUGGCCCAUUGAAGAAAAGGUGGCCUCUACCUGUAAGCUAUCGCCUGAAGAGGGGUUUGCGUCUGAUUAGCUGGUUGGAGGGGUAACGGCCCACCAAGGCGACGAUCAGUAGCCGGUCUGAGAGGAUGAACGGCCACACUGGAACUGAGACACGGUCCAGACUCCUACGGGAGGCAGCAGUGGGGAAUCUUCCGCAAUGGGCGAAAGCCUGACGGAGCAACGCCGCGUGAGUGAUGACGGCCUUCGGGUUGUAAAACUCUGUGAUCCGGGACGAAAAGGCAGAGUGCGAAGAACAAACUGCAUUGACGGUACCGGAAAAGCAAGCCACGGCUAACUACGUG